RNAcentral lists this ribosomal RNA (1958 nucleotides) under human gut metagenome. RNAcentral describes it as "bacterial LSU rRNA". It matches the Rfam family "Bacterial large subunit ribosomal RNA", at positions 1 to 1973 of the family's 2925-position model. The record is from RNAcentral.
GAAAGUAAAUAAGGGCGCAUGGCGGAUGCCUUGGCUCUCGGAGGCGAUGAAGGACGUGAUAAGCUGCGAUAAGCUUCGGGUAGGUGCAAAUGACCAUUGAUCCGAAGAUUUCCGAAUGGGACAACCCGGCAUUCUGAAGGAAUGUCAUCCAACUUGGUUGGAGGCUAACGCAGGGAACUGAAACAUCUUAGUACCUGCAGGAAAAGAAAAUAAAUAAUGAUUCCCCUAGUAGUGGCGAGCGAACGGGGAUUAGCCCAAACCACCCAUGUUACGGCAUGUGUGGGGUUGUAGGACCACGCUCUCGCAAGACAGUUAUUGAGAAGAAACGACUGGAAAGUCGUGCCAUAGACGGUGAUAGCCCGGUAUUCUAAGGUAACCGAAGCGUAGUGGUAUCCUGAGUAGCGCGGAGCACGAGGAAUUCUGCGUGAAUCAGCCGGGACCAUCCGGUAAGGCUAAAUACUCCCGAGAGACCGAUAGCGAACCAGUACUGUGAAGGAAAGGUGAAAAGCACUUCGAAUAGAAGAGUGAAAUAGUCCCUGAAACCAUGCGCCUACAAGCGGUCGGAGCAGCUUAAGUUGUGACGGCGUGCCUUUUGCAUAAUGAACCUACGAGUUACUUUUUCCGGCAAGGUUAAGCAUCUUGAGAUGUGGAUCCGAAGCGAAAGCGAGUCUGAACAGGGCGGAUAGUCGGAAGGAGUAGACGCGAAACCAAGUGAUCUACCCUUGGGCAGGUUGAAGGUUAGGUAACACUAACUGGAGGACCGAACCGAUAAGCGUUGAAAAGCUUCCGGAUGACCUGAGGGUGGGGGUGAAAGGCUAAUCAAACUUGGAGAUAGCUCGUACUCCCCGAAAUGCAUUUAGGUGCAGCCUUGAGAGUUACUAAUGUGAGGUAGAGCGACUGAUAAGAUGCGAGGGCUUCACCGCCUAUCAAGUCUUGAUAAACUCCGAAUGCGCAUUAGUUCUAUCUCAGGAGUGAGGGCAUGGGUGCUAAGGUCCAUGUCCUAAAGGAGAAGAAUCCAGACCAUCAGCUAAGGUCCCCAAAUAAACACUAAGUUGAACUAACGAAGUCAGAUUGCUAAGACAGCUAGGAUGUUGGCUUGGAAGCAGCCAUUCAUUUAAAGAGUGCGUAACAGCUCACUAGUCGAGGAGUUUGGCGUGGAUAAUAAUCGGGCAUAAGUGUUUUACCGAAGCUAUGGGAUACGUAAGUAUCGGUAGGGGAGCAUUCCACUCUGCGUUGAAGGCGAAGCGUGAGCUUUACUGGAGCGUGUGGAAAAGCAAAUGUAGGUAUAAGUAACGAUAAAGGGGGUGAGAAACCCCCUCGCCGCAAGACUAAGGUUUCCUGAUCAACGCUAAUCGGAUCAGGGUUAGUCGGGUCCUAAGGCUCAGCCGAACGGUGAGGCCGAUGGCAGAACAGGUUAAUAUUCCUGUACUACCUGUAAGAGUGAUGUGGAGACGGAGGAGUGACAACGCCGCGGACUGACGGAAUAGUCCGUUAAAGGGUGUAGAUGUUGAUUAUCCCAGGCAAAUCCGGGAUAAGAGUCGAACCUGAUAGUAUACCAAUUUCCUCGGAAAACGGUAAUAGUGCGUGUAAACAUACUCCCAAGAAAAUCCGCUAAACUUAAUCUUACAGGUACCCGUACCGUAAACGGACACACGUAGUCGGGUUGAAUAUACUCAGGCGCUUGAGUGAAUCACGGUUAAGGAACUAGGCAAAUUGACCCUGUAACUUCGGGAUAAAGGGUCCCUACCCGGUGACGGGAGGGCGCAGAGAAUAGGUCCAGGCAACUGUUUAACAAAAACACAGGGCUGUGCAAAAUUGAAAGAUCACGUAUACAGCCUGACACCUGCCCGGUGCUGGAAGGUUAAGAGGAGAUGUCAUCGCAAGAGAAGCAUUGAAUUGAAGCCCCAGUAAACGGCGGCCGUAACUAUAACGGUCCUAAGGUAGCGAAAUUCCUUGUC